GAGAGAGGCAUAAAGCAGUAAGGAUUGCUAACCCCUACCACCCCGGCUAAAAUCCGCGGCUCACUC
Molecule: transfer RNA, 66 nt
Filed under: Vandellia cirrhosa (candiru)
Lineage: Eukaryota; Metazoa; Chordata; Actinopteri; Siluriformes; Trichomycteridae
Description: tRNA-Ser
Source: RNAcentral